UAAUACGAAGGGACCUAGCGUAGUUCGGAAUUACUGGGCUUAAAGAAUUCGUAGGUGGUUGAAAAAGUUAGUGGUGAAAUCCCAGAGCUUAACUCUGGAACUGCCAUUAAAACUUUUCAGCUAGAGUAUGAUAGAGGAAAGCAGAAUUUCUAGUGUAGAGGUGAAAUUCGUAGAUAUUAGAAAGAAUACCAAUUGCGAAGGCAGCUUUCUGGAUCAUUACUGACACUGAGGAACGAAAGCAUGGGUAGCGAAGAGGAUUAGAUACCCUCGUAGUCCAUGCCGUAAACGAUGUGUGUUAGACGUUGGAAAUUUAUUUUCAGUGUCGCAGCGAAAGCGAUAAACACACCGCCUGGGGAGUACGACCGCAAGGUUAAAACUCAAAUGAAUUGACGGGGACCCGCACAAGUAGUGGAGCAUGUGGUUUAAUUCGAAGAUACGCGCAGAACCUUACCAACACUUGACAUGUUCGUCGCGACUUUAAGAGAUUAAAGUUUUCGGUUCGGCCGGACGAAACACAGGUGCUGCAUGGCUGUCGUCAGCUCGUGUCGUGAGAUGUUGGGUUAAGUCCCGCAACGAGCGCAACCCUCACUUUUAGUUGCCAUCAUUAAGUUGGGCACUCUGAAAGAACUGCCAGUGAUAAGCUGGAGGAAGGUGGGGAUGACGUCAAGUCCUCAUGGCCCUUACGUGUUGGGCUACACACGUGCUACAAUGGUAUCUACAACAGGAAGCAAGACGGCGACGUCAAGCAAAUCCUUAAAAGAUACCUCAGUUCGGAUUGCACUCUGCAACUCGAGUGCAUGAAGCUGGAAUUACUAGUAAUCGUGGAUCAGCGUGCCACGGUGAAUGCGUUCCCGGGUCUUGUACACACCGCCCGUCACACCAUGGGAGUUGGUUCUACCUUAAGGCAAGGUUUAAAACCCUUGACCACGGUAUAGUCAGCGACUGGGGUGAAGUCGUAACAAGGUAACCG
RNAcentral lists this ribosomal RNA (970 nucleotides) under uncultured bacterium. Its description in RNAcentral is "bacterial SSU rRNA". It matches the Rfam family "Bacterial small subunit ribosomal RNA", at positions 521 to 1502 of the family's 1533-position model. The record is from RNAcentral.